UACCUGCGCCACGAGUGGUAAUCACGCUUAUUGGGCUUAAAGCGUUCGUAGCCGGUUUGGAAAGUUUCUAAUGAAAUCGCUGCGCGAAGCGCAAGCGAGCUAAUGUCUCAUAGCUUUGCUCGGUGACAUGAAAUCCUGCAGCUGACUGUAGGGCUUGUUAGAAAUACUUCCAGGCUUUGGGACCGGGAGAGGUCGAGGGUAUUAUUGGGGUAGGGUAAAACGAAUGCUUACGCAUAUGUUGUAAGCAAGCUUACAAUCCUAUAAUCCCAAUAAGACCACCUGUGGCGAAGGGCGCUCGACUAGAACGGGAUCCGACGGUGAGGGGACGAAAGCUGGGGGGAGCAAAGCGGAUUAGAUACCCUGGGU
RNAcentral lists this ribosomal RNA (366 nucleotides) under uncultured archaeon. Its description in RNAcentral is "partial 16S ribosomal RNA". It matches the Rfam family "Archaeal small subunit ribosomal RNA", at positions 474 to 742 of the family's 1478-position model. The record is from RNAcentral.